UGAUAAUCUGAAUGAACAAGAGGAGCUGGCAGUUGAAGGGGCACAAUUCGCGUGUCUAGCAUAUAUUCUCAAGGGUUGUUGAAUUCUCUAACACAGGCAUUGCAAAGCUCCGGCGUAGAUCUGUCACAAGCCAGCAUUUCAGUGUAGAUUGAUCUCGGCAAGCGAGCAAAUAGCAGGCCAUCAACCACAAUAUCUAGUGCUAAGGAUCAUGACGACCCCUCAUCAAGCAACCGUGCAGUGGCCCACUCGAGGGUGGCUAGCAGUGGGGAGGACUCACAUCAACAAGCUCAGAAGAGGCUGAGGACAGCUAACAGCUAAGCUAGUAUUUGCAAUCCUCUUCUUCCUUCAUUUUUAUUUAAUUUAUUUGUUUUCGGGUGAGAUGGCCUAGUUAAUACACUAUAAGUUCGGUGUAUAUGCUUUGCUUUGACGGCUUGGGGGGACGAUAGGAUAUCUCACAAACCCUUAGGUAUCUAUUCUUUUAUUCGUGACA
Long non-coding RNA from Magnolia sinica, 490 nucleotides. RefSeq lists it as uncharacterized. The record is from RefSeq and is a predicted model, not a curated record. NCBI's taxonomy places the organism in Eukaryota, Viridiplantae, Streptophyta, Magnoliopsida, Magnoliales, Magnoliaceae. The transcript has 3 exons.